UAAGCGUACUGAAAGUGCACUUGGAAUAACAAAAUACUACACAAAGCUUCAUUACUUAGCAAAAUUUGUUAAAUCAAAAUAUUUUGAGCUUAAAUACUAGCCUAAACUUAUUCACAUUCUAUUUUCUUAUUAAAACAUUUUAACUAUAUAGUAGAGGCGAUCAAAAAAUUUAUAAGCGCUUUAGAAAUAGUACCGCAAGGGAAAUAUGAAAUAAAAAUGAAAUAAUUAUUAAGCAUAUAAAAGCAGAGACCCAACCUCGUACCUUUUGCAUCAUGGUUUAGCUAGUCUUACCAGGCAAAAAGAAUUUUAGUCUGACUUCCCGAAACUUAGUGAGCUACUCUAAAGCAGCCGAACGGGCCAACCCAUCUCUGUAGCAAAAUAGUGGGAAGACUUUAGAGUAGAAGUGAAAAGCCUAUCGAACUGAGUAAUAGCUGGUUACUUGAGAAAAGAAUUUUAGUUCUGCCUAAAGUCCCUGAUAUGCUAUAAACAAUUCACAAGACUUUAGAGUUAAACAAAUAAGGUACAGCUUAUUUGUUUCAGGAUACAACCUACAUUAGAGGGUAAAUUAAUUAUAAUUAACUCAAGUGGGCCUAAAAGCAGCCACCUUUUGAAAAGCGUUAAAGCUUAACUUCCCCAUCAUUAAUUCCUUUAAUAUUCCCCAACCCCUUACCAAUAUCAAGUAAAUCUAUAAAAUAUAGAAGAUAUAAUGCUAAAACUAGUAACAAGAAACUGCAUUUCUCCUAAAUGAACGUUUAAACCUCACAGGACAGACCAGAGGAAGUUAACACCCAUAAACCCACUACAGUAACUUCAACAAGAAAACCCUGUAAUUUAUGCCGUUAAUCUAACACCAGCUCAUUUAAGGAAAGAUUGAAAGGAAGAGAAGGAACUCGGCAAAUUUAAGUUCCGCCUGUUUACCAAAAACACCGCCUCUUGCUCUACUAUAAGAGGUCCAGCCUGCCCAGUGAUAGUAUUCAACGGCCGCGGUAUCCUAACCGUGCGAAGGUAGCAUAAUCACUUGUUCUUUAAAUAAGGACCAGAAUCAACGGCAUCACGAGAACUUUACUGUCUCCUCUCCCUAAUCAGUGAAACUGAUUUCCCCGUGAAGAAGCGGGGAUAGAAAUAUUAGACGAGAAGACCCCAUGGAGCUUCAAGCCCUAUAGUAACCUCAAGACAACAUUUCACAUAAUCCUUAAGCUUAUACUAGCAGGCUUUAGGUUGGGGCGACCAUGGAGUACAACCUAACCUCCACGAUGUACUUACCAAUUUAUCUGUGAACUACUAAUCUAAGAAUUUUUAAAAUAACACCAUGAUCCGAUUUUCGAUCAACGAACCAAGUUACCCUGGGGAUAACAGCGCAAUCCAUUUUAAGAGCUCAUAUCGACAAAUGGGUUUACGACCUCGAUGUUGGAUCAGGAUAUCCUGGCGGUGCAGUCGCUACCAAAGGUUCGUUUGUUCAACGAUUAAAAUCCU
Molecule: ribosomal RNA, 1473 nt
Filed under: Aubria subsigillata (brown ball frog)
Lineage: Eukaryota; Metazoa; Chordata; Amphibia; Anura; Pyxicephalidae
Description: partial 16S ribosomal RNA
Rfam family: Bacterial large subunit ribosomal RNA
Source: RNAcentral